GCCUACGGGGCGCAGCAGUGGGGAAUAUUGGGCAAUGGGCGCAAGCCCGACCCAGCAACUCCGCGUUCCUUCCUCCGUCUUUCGGUUUGUAAACUUCUUUUAUUCGGGACGAAGAAAGUGACGGUACCGAAUGAAUAAGCCACGGCUAACUACGUGCCAGCAGCCGCGGUAAUACGUAGGUGGCAAGCGUUAUCCGGAUUUAUUGGGUGUAAAGGGCGUGUAGGCUGGAAUUCAAGUCAGAUGUGAAAACUCAGGGCUCAACCCUGAGCCUGCAUUUGAAAAUGUAUUUCUUGAGAGCUGGAGAG
This 305-nucleotide ribosomal RNA is filed under the name uncultured bacterium. RNAcentral describes it as "bacterial SSU rRNA". It matches the Rfam family "Bacterial small subunit ribosomal RNA", at positions 337 to 656 of the family's 1533-position model. The record is from RNAcentral.